Molecule: ribosomal RNA, 553 nt
Filed under: fungal endophyte sp. P605F
Lineage: Eukaryota; Fungi
Description: eukaryotic LSU rRNA
Rfam family: 5.8S ribosomal RNA (bases 210-362)
Source: RNAcentral
UGCGGAAGGAUCAUUACCGAGUUAGGGUCGCUACACCGCGCCCGACCUCCAACCCUUUGUCUACCUUGACCUUUUGUUGCUUCGGCAGGCCCGUCCUCGGGCCGCCGGGGGGUCUCCGUCUGGGGAGCCCCUGGCCAGUGCCUGCCGGUGGCCCCUUAAACUCUUGCUUAAACGUGUCGUCUGAGUGAUUGUUAAAACAAAUAAUCAAAAACUUUCAACAACGGAUCUCUUGGUUCUGGCAUCGAUGAAGAACGCAGCGAAAUGCGAUAAGUAAUGCGAAUUGCAGAAUCCGUGAGUCAUCGAAUCUUUGAACGCACAUUGCGCCCUUUGGUAUUCCGAAGGGCAUGCCUGUUCGAGCGUCAUUAUCACCCCUCAAGCCCGGCUUGUUGUUGGAUCGAGUCUCGCCUCCGGCGCAGACUGGUCCCAAAGAUAAUGACGGCGUCUGUGAGGACUCCAGUACACUGAGCUUUCGGGCACGUACUUGGCCAGAACUCCAGGCCCGUUUAACCACGGCACCUCGGUGUCGUACUUACCAAGGUGACCUCGGAUCAGU